RNAcentral lists this ribosomal RNA (1397 nucleotides) under uncultured bacterium. RNAcentral describes it as "bacterial SSU rRNA". It matches the Rfam family "Bacterial small subunit ribosomal RNA". The record is from RNAcentral.
AACGUACGCUGGCGGCACGCCUAACACAUGCAAGUCGAACGAAGUAGCAAUACUUAGUGGCAGACGGGUGAGUAACAUGUAGGUAUCUGCCCUUUGGCCUGGAAUAACACGAGGAAACUUGUGCUAAUACCGGAUAAGUCUUUACGGAGAAAGCUUUAUGCACCAUUGGAUGAGCCUGCACUUGAAUAGUUUGUUGGUAGGGUAAUGGCCUACCAAGACUUUGAUCAAUAGCUGAUUUGAGAGGAUGAUCAGCCACAUUGGGACUGAGACACGGCCCAAACUCCUACGGGAGGCAGCAGUGGGGAAUCUUGCACAAUGGAGGAAACUCUGAUGCAGCGAUGCCGCGUGAGUGAAGAAGGCCUUUGGGUUGUAAAGCUCUUUCGUCGGGGAAGAAAAUGACUGUACCCGAAUAAGAAGGUCCGGCUAACUUCGUGCCAGCAGCCGCGGUAAUACGAAGGGACCUAGCGUAGUUCGGAAUUACUGGGCUUAAAGAGUUCGUAGGUGGUUGAAAAAGUUGGUGGUGAAAUCCCAGAGCUUAACUCUGGAACUGCCAUCAAAACUUUUCAGCUAGAGUUUGAUAGAGGAAAGCAGAAUUUCUAGUGUAGAGGUGAAAUUCGUAGAUAUUAGAAAGAAUACCAAUUGCGAAGGCAGCUUUCUGGAUCAUUACUGACACUGAGGAACGAAAGCAUGGGUAGCGAAGAGGAUUAGAUACCCUCGUAGUCCAUGCCGUAAACGAUGUGUGUUAGACGUUGGAAAUUUAUUUUCAGUGUCGCAGCGAAAGCGAUAAACACACCGCCUGGGGAGUACGACCGCAAGGUUAAAACUCAAAUGAAUUGACGGGGACCCGCACAAGUAGUGGAGCAUGUGGUUUAAUUCGAAGAUACGCGCAGAACCUUACCAACACUUGACAUGUUCGUCGCGACUUUAAGAGAUUAAAGUUUUCGGUUCGGCCGGACGAAACACAGGUGCUGCAUGGCUGUCGUCAGCUCGUGUCGUGAGAUGUUGGGUUAAGUCCCGCAACGAGCGCAACCCUCACUUUUAGUUGCCAUCAUUUAGUUGGGCACUCUGAAAGAACUGCCAGUGAUAAGCUGGAGGAAGGUGGGGAUGACGUCAAGUCCUCAUGGCCCUUACGUGUUGGGCUACACACGUGCUACAAUGGUAUUUACAAAAGGAAGCAAGACGGCGACGUUAAGCAAAUCCUUAAAAAAUACCUCAGUUCGGAUUGCACUCUGCAACUCGAGUGCAUGAAGCUGGAAUUACUAGUAAUCGUGGAUCAGCGUGCCACGGUGAAUGCGUUCCCGGGUCUUGUACACACCGCCCGUCACACCAUGGGAGUUGGUUCUACCUUAAGGCAAGGUUUUAAACCCUUGACCACGGUAUAGUCAGCGACUGGGGUG